UUAAAGAAAAAGAAGAAAGAAAAAAUUGGAAUGAUACAGAGAAGAUUAGCAUGGCCCCUGUGCAAUGAUGGCACACAAAUUCAUGAAGCGCUCCAUAUUUAA
This is a small nuclear RNA of Phodopus roborovskii (desert hamster), 102 nucleotides long. NCBI's taxonomy places the organism in Eukaryota, Metazoa, Chordata, Mammalia, Rodentia, Cricetidae. The record is from RefSeq and is a predicted model, not a curated record.